RNAcentral lists this ribosomal RNA (253 nucleotides) under uncultured bacterium. RNAcentral describes it as "partial 16S ribosomal RNA". It matches the Rfam family "Bacterial small subunit ribosomal RNA", at positions 524 to 776 of the family's 1533-position model. The record is from RNAcentral.
UACGUAGGGGGCUAGCGUUGUUCGGAUUUACUGGGCGUAAAGCGCACGUAGGCGGAUUGUUAAGUCAGGUGUGAAAUCCUGGAGCUCAACUCCAGAACUGCCUUUGAUACUGGCAAUCUUGAGUCCGGAAGAGGUGAGUGGAACUCCUAGUGUAGAGGUGGAAUUCGUAGAUAUUAGGAAGAACACCAGUGGCGAAGGCGGCUCACUGGUCCGGUACUGACGCUGAGGUGCGAAAGCGUGGGGAGCAAACAGG